Molecule: ribosomal RNA, 449 nt
Filed under: uncultured bacterium
Lineage: Bacteria
Description: partial 16S ribosomal RNA
Rfam family: Bacterial small subunit ribosomal RNA
Source: RNAcentral
GUCGAGAAUCAUUCACAAUGGGGGAAACCCUGAUGGUGUGACGCCGCGUGGAGGAUGAAGGUCUUCGGAUUGUAAACUCCUGUCAUGUGGGAGUAAAGCCGGGUGUUAAAUGCAUGCCGGUCUGAGAGUACCACAAGAGGAAGGGACGGCUAACUCUGUGCCAGCAGCCGCGGUAAUACAGAGGUCCCAAGCGUUGUUCGGAAUCACUGGGCGUAAAGGGUGCGUAGGCGGCGCGGAAAGUCAGGGGUGAAAUCCCGGAGCUCAACUCCGGAACUGCCUUUGAUACUCCCGCGCUUGAGAACUGGAGGGGAGACCGGAAUUCACGGUGGAGCAGUGAAAUGCGUGGAUAUCGUGAGGAACACUAGUGGCGAAGGCGGGUCUCUGGACAGUAUCUGACGCUGAGGCACGAAGGCCAGGGGAGCGAACGGGAUUAGAUACCCGUGUAGUCC